Molecule: ribosomal RNA, 663 nt
Filed under: uncultured euryarchaeote
Lineage: Archaea; Methanobacteriati; Methanobacteriota
Description: bacterial SSU rRNA
Rfam family: Archaeal small subunit ribosomal RNA
Source: RNAcentral
GGCUUUUGUGGAAUGUAAAAAGUUCUACGAAUAAGGACUGGGUAAGACUAGUGCCAGCCGCCGCGGUAAUACUAGCGGUCCAAGUCGCAGCCAUUCUUAUUGGGUCUAAAACAUCCGUAGCUUGCUUGAUAAGUUUUCUGUGAAAUCUCAUAUCUCAAGUAUAAGAAUUGUGGAAAAUACUGUCAAGCUAGAGACCGGGAGACGUAAAGAGUACGUCUAAAGUAGCGGUAAAAUGUGUUGAUCUUAGGCGGACUGACGAUAGCGAAGGCACUUUACGAGAACGGUUCUGACAGUAAGGGAUGAAGGCUAGGGGCGCAAAACGGAUUAGAUACCCGUGUAGUCCUAGCAGUAAACACUGCACACUAAACCUUGUGAUCUCUUCGAGAGAUUGCAGGGCUGCAGGGAAGCCGAAGAGUGUGCUACCUGGGAAGUAUAGUCGCAAGGCUGAAACUUAAAGGAAUUGGCGGGGAGACACUACAACGGGUGACGCGUGCGGUUCAAUUAGAUUAUACACCGUGAACCUCACCAGGAGCGACAGCAGAAUGAAGGUCAGUCUAAAGGGCUUACCUGACACGCUGAGAGGGGUUGCAUGGCCGACGUCAGCCUGUGCUGUGAGGCGAUCUGUUAAAUCAGAUAACAGGCAAGACCCACAUCUUUAUUUAC